RNAcentral lists this long non-coding RNA (3169 nucleotides) under Daphnia magna. RNAcentral's name for it is "uncharacterized LOC116915937, transcript variant X1". Lineage: Eukaryota; Metazoa; Arthropoda; Branchiopoda; Diplostraca; Daphniidae. The record is from RNAcentral.
CAUCACAGAGAAAAAAGUUACUAAACCUCUUUUCAACACCAUCGAGUAAAGCCGCAGCCAAAGGUUCACAGACUAUUAGGUUCCCAGAAUUUGUAAGGUCAUCAAUUUUUCUCUUGAUCAUGAUAAUUGAAAGUAACAUAUGCGAUAUGCCCAGCUCUAACUUGAUUACCUGUUUCCCCUUGGAAACUUUUUAAAGCAGUUGCAAUUGGCUUCAUAAGCAUAACAUAUUGUUUCAUAAACAAUAUUUCCAGUGAAUUAAAAUCUGCAAUGCCAUUAUAGUCACACAGAAAAACAAUACAGACUUCGUUAACAGACGAAGUAUCGCUAUCGAGUAUCGAUCGAUACCGAAACGAUACCGUACCGAUACCUAUUUUUUAAAAGUAGCGCCGAUACGGUCCCGAUACCAGGUAUCGCUAUCGCCGAUAAUAUCGGUAUCGAAGCCGAUAUUACGUCAUGAGUUGUCCAGUAUGUUCAAAAGUGCCCCAAAUCGAGUUGGUGUUAGUGCACUCCUGUAAAACAAGCAUCGCUGUGUUUGCUUUGAUGCAAACAUUACUGUUGAAUGGGCUGAUGGUGAAAUCAGACGUGUACUUGAAAGCUUGACCUUUGUUAGUUACUUUGCUGCAGUUUCCUACGGAUACUUGUGAUUGCACUAGGGGAUCGUUGCUUGUGGUUAAUGUUUUCAGUUUAUCUUGACAUUUUAUCCAAUCUGCGUCACAAUCUUCCAUGGUUAGUUGUUUGUUAAGCCCAUGAUGUGUGACACAUUUUCCGUUUGGAUAUUGUCCAUUUUUCAACAACCCCCAGGCGAUCAUGUCCCAGAUGAUAUUUCCACUGCCAUGAUUUGCUUUCAGGAAACAUCCAAAUAUGGGUGAGUUGAUUGUGGUUGUAACUGCUCUUCGUUGCUCUAAUCGGACUUCUUGAAUAUCCUGCAAUGGUACGUCGGGGAAAUUUUCUAUAACAUCCGGGUUAGUAUUUAUUGUUUGAAAAAACCACUGCUGGUUUUUUCUCGUAUCUCCCUCCAUAGCAGACUGUUCCAAUUUUAAGGAUUCGUCGAUUCCUACGGUUGCAGCAAAUACGUGGUCGUUUUUGUUUCCGUGAUGCAAAUAUUAGUGUUUUGUACACGUAUUGUUGGAUCGACAAUGUACUCAAAUUUCGCUCCUGGUGGGAGAUUGUCGUCCUUUGAAAGUUGACUGUACGUUAUUAAACGAUUUUUGCUUCCAGACUCUUCCCCAGCCGUAUAAAAUGCUGUAGAGGCAAAUCCCCAGUUUUUCUUCUUCGAUUUGGGUGUUGAAAAGAAAGUGGACCUCUUGAAGAACAGAAUGUUGUGACCGGGACUUAUACAGUUCUCUGUAGUCUUCGCAUACUGGUGUAGCAGGAAAACGCAAGGUAUGUCAGUGGUAUUCCAAUUACUUUAUAUCCGACUGCUGUAACAUCUUUAUCAGGCUUAUUGAAGAAGGAUAUCUCUAGCUUUCGAUUGUUGUCAUAGAGGCGACUGGAGUUGUUGUUUUCUGGUGAACGAGGAAUCUCGAGGUAAUCAUUUCUUUUUAGUAAAGUUUGGGAAUACGAAUGUCUCGUUGGGACCUCCAAAUGUAAAGAUUUCUAGUGUAACGAAGGCCUACAAAUUUAUUUAAUCAACAUGCCCACAUUUUACUGUCUUAUAUUUACUCCCCUUUUCAUUUAUGAUAUCCGCCUUUUUCCUUAUGUAAACGUUUACAAUUCGUACUGUAUUUCAUGCUCAUUUCCUUGAAAUGUUGUUUGUCAAUUCGGAGAUGAAGUCAUCGACGCUUUGGUCUGACCUCAAUGAACACCUGAAACUGACGUAUGUGCGAUGCGCAUAUUGCAAAAUAAAUAAGCAACCGGUUGAUUGGUUGCAUACACGUCACAAUCAAUAUCUUAACAAAACCUUUUUUGAUUGGUUACCCGUGCGCGACAACAACAGUUGCAACAUGCCAUGAGCGUCUGUGACCACUCCUGAAAUGCGAUGUUUCGUGGUGAACCCACAUUUCUGACAAACAGAGUCGAUUCGCAACAUCCAAGCAGUUCAUACGUCAAUUGCUGAGUGUUUAAACCGUGAGUUUGUCCGUACAAUUUUUCUUUUCUCUUGUUCUCAAACUUUGUUAUUUUGUAAGCACUUUUCGUGUUUUCGCCUUCUUGAACUGUCUGUGCACUCGUGCCUUGCUCUCGCUUACACGAGCCGCAUCUUAUCGUUUUUACCACCGUGCGCUCCCGUAACGCUCGCGCUACAUCGGUAAGCUUCUAACUUCCCUUAUGUUUCUGUCAUUAUGAUUUAGCUCGUUAUCCCAUUUCUUGUCCUAUUGUAUGUCCCUUCCCAUGUAAUCCUUAUGGCCUUAGUCAAGUAAAUACACACCAAUCAUUGUGGGUAAUUCGCCACCGAGUUCAGUCUAUUUCCAAAUCUCAGAUACACAUUUCAAUCUUUGUAAUACUCUUCCCCACACAAGGAUGUAUUACAUAAUGGUGGCAGCGCUUUUUGAACUCAACCACAAUGAAUAAUGAUGUUAUUACUGACGGGUCUAGAAUUCCACGAACUCCUAUACACCCCAGUGUGCCCCGAAUUAAUGUUCCCCUGUCCAGUGAGCUAACUAUAGCUAGAUUGCUUAAUUUCGAUAAGUUGCCUGUUUAACCCCAAAUUGCACCUCAUACAUGUCCAGCUUGUACCACUCCCAAACCAAUUUCUGAACCGGGAAAUAAACGAGUCGUUGCGAGGGAGUCAUCAGGCAGUUCAGUGGUUUCUCGGGCCGCGUUACCAGUAAUCAUGGCCCAACGACCACCUGCCCCCCGACUGAAGUACCGGGCUCCUCCGAUCUUCUACGGGAGGAAGGAUGAGGAUGCAGCGGAUUGGCUAGAGCGUUAUGAGAGUACGGCUCUCUAUAACCGCUGGAGACCAGAUGAGAUGGCCGAGAAUUUUGGGAUCCAUCUGAAUGGGGCGGCUAGGAAAUGUUUUCUCUGCUCUGGAGCCCCGGCUGUGUGACGGGAUACACCGGCAGUGGCCGCAGCGCCGGGGGGUGGUGGCUGUGCAUGGGACGGAAGGACUACGAACGAGAUUUCUUAGAGCCUUCCAGCCGCAACAUUAUGGUCGCUAUCAAGAGACAAAGUUACGACAGUGGAAGAAAGGGAUAGACGAAUCAGGAGUGGAAUACUUCUACGACGUCGU